GCCGAUGUCUGAUUAGCUAGUUGGUGGGGUAAAGGCCCACCAAGGCGACGAUCAGUAGCUGGUCUGAAAGGACGAUCAGCCACACUGGGACUGAGACACGGCCCAAACUCCUACGGGAGGCAGCAGUGGGGAAUUUUGGACAAUGGGGGCAACCCUGAUCCAGCAAUGCCGGGUGUGUGAAGAAGGCCUUCGGGUUGUAAAGCACUUUUGUCCGGAAAGAAAUCGCACUGGUUAAUACCUGGUGUGGAUGACGGUACCGGAAGAAUAAGGACCGGCUAACUACGUGCCAGCAGCCGCGGUAAUACGUAGGGUCCAAGCGUUAAUCGGAAUUACUGGGCGUAAAGCGUGCGCAGGCGGUUGUGCAAGACCGAUGUGAAAUCCCCGGGCUUAACCUGGGAAUUGCAUUGGUGACUGCACGGCUAGAGUGUGUCAGAGGGAGUAGAAUUUCCACGUGUAGCAGUGAAAUGCGUAGA
This 473-nucleotide ribosomal RNA is filed under the name Ralstonia solanacearum. Its description in RNAcentral is "bacterial SSU rRNA". It matches the Rfam family "Bacterial small subunit ribosomal RNA", at positions 229 to 694 of the family's 1533-position model. The record is from RNAcentral. Lineage: Bacteria; Pseudomonadati; Pseudomonadota; Betaproteobacteria; Burkholderiales; Burkholderiaceae.